AGAGUUUGAUCCUGGCUCAGGACGAACACUGGCGGCGCGCCUAACACAUGCAAGUCGAACGGAGCUUAGAGAGCUUGCUUUUUAAGCUUAGUGGCGAACGGGUGAGUAACGCGUGAGUAACCUGCCCUAGAGUGGGGGACAACAGUUGGAAACGACUGCUAAUACCGCAUAAGCCCACGGUGCCGCAUGACACUGAGGGAAAAGGAUUUAUUCGCUUUAGGAUGGACUCGCGUCCAAUUAGCUAGUUGGUGAGGUAACGGCCACCAAGGCGACGAUUGGUAGCCGGACUGAGAGGUUGAACGGCCACAUUGGGACUGAGACACGGCCCAGACCUCCUACGGGAGGCA
This 347-nucleotide ribosomal RNA is filed under the name uncultured bacterium. RNAcentral's name for it is "bacterial SSU rRNA". It matches the Rfam family "Bacterial small subunit ribosomal RNA", at positions 8 to 350 of the family's 1533-position model. The record is from RNAcentral.